GUGAAUAUUGUUUUGUGGGAUUGAACAACUACUUUUCGUGCUUGCACCACCCGUAACAACUUUCCCAGGUACUUUCUCAGGUAUGUCGAUCUGAUAUGAAUUUGCGUGGAUGAGUACACCAAUUUAUUCAAAUUAUUGCAUCAUAAAAACAACUGAAAUACAAUACAAAAAUUUAAAUACAAAAAAUAUAACAACAACAUAUAACACAAAAUUUGUAACUUAUACUUACCUCAAACACAUUGAGGCUACACUUCUCCCGCACUUCCUCUAACAACUUU
This 278-nucleotide long non-coding RNA is filed under the name Lathyrus oleraceus (garden pea). RNAcentral describes it as "Pisum sativum (pea) long non-coding RNA (PSAT_LNC030186)". The record is from RNAcentral. Lineage: Eukaryota; Viridiplantae; Streptophyta; Magnoliopsida; Fabales; Fabaceae.